AAGCUCGUAGUUGGAUCUAGGGACGCGCAUUUCAAGCGCCCGUGCCGUCGGGUCAAACCGGCGGCUGCGUUGGCGUUGCGGGCUCGGUCCGUCGGUGCCCCACAAAGGGCUAUCGGCGUGUCAACCGGCCCGCCCGUCCCCUCCUUCUGGAUUCCCGUUCCUGCUAUUGAGUUAGUGGGGACGUCACAGGGGGCUCAUCGUCGUCGUGCAAACGGCGGCGGUGGGUCCCUGGGGCCCAGAUCGUUUACCGUGAAAAAAUUAGAGUGUUCAAAGCAGGCAGAUCCAAUUUUCUGCCACCGAAUACAUUAGCAUGGGAUAAUGGAAUAGGACCCUGUCCUCCUAUUUUCAGUUGGUUUUGGCAGCGCGAGGACUAGGGUAAUGAUUAAUAGGGAUAGUUGGGGGCAUUAAUAUUUAAUUGUCAGAGGUGAAAUUCUUGGAUUUAUGAAAGAUUAACUUCUGCGAAAGCAUCUGCCAAGGAUGUUUUCAUUAAUCAAGAACGAAAGUUAGGGGAUCGAAGACGAUCAGAUACCGUCGUAGUCUUAACCAUAAACGAUGCCGACCAGCGAUUAGGAGACGUUGAAUACAAAACACCACCAUCGGUGCGGUCGUCCUUGGCGUCGGUCUUUCGGGGCCGGCGCGGGGACGGCUUAGCCCGGUGGCACCGGUGAAUGACUCCCCUAGCAGCUUGUGAGAAAUCAUAAGUCUUUGGGUUCCGGGGGGAGUAUGGUCGCAAGGCUGAAACU
This 743-nucleotide ribosomal RNA is filed under the name Acanthamoeba sp. A-T4-3-146. Its description in RNAcentral is "SSU rRNA". It matches the Rfam family "Eukaryotic small subunit ribosomal RNA", at positions 624 to 1144 of the family's 1831-position model. RNAcentral also lists the same sequence under 1 other name. Lineage: Eukaryota; Discosea; Longamoebia; Acanthamoebidae. The record is from RNAcentral.